RNAcentral lists this ribosomal RNA (800 nucleotides) under uncultured rumen bacterium. RNAcentral's name for it is "bacterial SSU rRNA". It matches the Rfam family "Bacterial small subunit ribosomal RNA", at positions 40 to 831 of the family's 1533-position model. The record is from RNAcentral.
CGGCAUGCUUAACGCAUGCAAGUCGAACGGUAGCAGAAGAAAGCUUGCUUUCUUGCUGACGAGUGGCGGACGGGUGAGUAAUGUAUAGGAAAUUGCCUUAAGGUGGGGGAUAACAUUCGGAAACGAAUGCUAAUACCACAUAAUAACUACGGUUCAAAGUGGGGGCUCGCAAGACCUCACGCCCUAAGAGAUGCCUAUAUUGGAUUAGCUUGUUGGUGAGGUAAUGGCUCACCAAGGCAACGAUCCAUAGCUGGUUUGAGAGGAUGAUCAGCCACAUUGGGACUGAGACACGGCCCAAACUCCUACGGGAGGCAGCAGUGGGGAAUAUUGGACAAUGGGGGAAACCCUGAUCCAGCAAUGCCGCGUGUGUGAAUGAAGGUCUUAGGAUUGUAAAGCACUUUUAGUAAUGAAGAAUGGUUAGUAGCUAAUACCUGCUAAUUUGACAUUAGUUACAGAAAAAGCACCGGCUAACUCCGUGCCAGCAGCCGCGGUAAUACGGAGGGUGCAAGCGUUAUUCGGAAUGACUGGGCGUAAAGCGCACGCAGGCGGUUAUUUAAGUCAGAUGUGAAAGCCCCGAGCUUAACUUGGGAAUUGCAUUUGAAACUGGAUAACUAGAAUAUGUCAGGGGAAGGCGGAAUUUCCAGUGUAGCAGUGAAAUGCGUAGAGAUUGGAAGGAACACCGAUGGCGAAGGCAGCCUUCUGGGACUAUAUUGACGCUCAUGUGCGAAAGCGUGGGUAGCAAACAGGAUUAGAUACCCUGGUAGUCCACGCCCUAACGAUGCCACUAGGCGUUGGAAUUU